CAGUCGCCGCGGUAAUACGUAGGGUGCGAGCGUUAAUCGGAAUUACUGGGCGUAAAGCGUGCGCAGGCGGUUCGUUAAGACAGAUGUGAAAUCCCCGGGCUUAACCUGGGAACUGCAUUUGUGACUGGCGAGCUAGAGUAUGGCAGAGAGGGGUAGAAUUCCACGUGUAGCAGUGAAAUGCGUAGAGAUGUGGAGGAAUACCGAUGGCGAAGGCAGCCCCCUGGGCCAAUACUGACGCUCAUGCACGAAAGCGUGGGGAGCAAACAGGAUUAGAGACCCGUGUAGUCCCUGUCUCUUAUAC
This 301-nucleotide ribosomal RNA is filed under the name uncultured bacterium. Its description in RNAcentral is "partial 16S ribosomal RNA". It matches the Rfam family "Bacterial small subunit ribosomal RNA", at positions 509 to 807 of the family's 1533-position model. The record is from RNAcentral.